This 200-nucleotide unclassified non-coding RNA is filed under the name soil metagenome. RNAcentral's name for it is "partial contains internal transcribed spacer 2 and large subunit ribosomal RNA". The record is from RNAcentral.
GAAAGCAUUAUGAUAAACCUUUUAUUGGUGUAUUAAGAUUUAUUCUAAAUCACUAUAAUGGUAUAUCUAGUUUUUAGAUCUUGCAUAUCUUCUAUUGAAAGCUCUUCUGUAAUCUGCUUUUGUUUAUAGAUUUAUCUAUAAGCGAAAUCAAUUUCUAUAUUUUUGACCUCAAAUCAGGCAGGAGUACCCGCUGAACUUAA